Molecule: long non-coding RNA, 1020 nt
Filed under: Homo sapiens (human)
Lineage: Eukaryota; Metazoa; Chordata; Mammalia; Primates; Hominidae
Description: HSALNT0390663
Source: RNAcentral
UAGUGUGAGCAGUGGGGAAAAGGCCCAGGAAGUGCCUCAUGCAUGUUCAGGCUCCAGGCAGUGGGGAGUAGGAGAGUUCUUACUAAUUACCUGUCAUGUCAAUUCUCAGAUGCCAGCUAGUAAGAAGACAUAUUCUGAGACAUCAGCUGAGCCUAAAUGAAUAAAGGCAUGACACUGAGAUUGAAGGCUAGUUCUACUUCAGAACCACAGAGACAUGAGCACCAGCAAGUUUGAGGUUGGAUAAGGAUCUUCAGAACUCCUCAGCUUCAGAUGGUCAAGCACUGCUUCCUCCCUUCUUCAACGGCAUCUCUAGCAUGAAGAGGCACAACAGAGUCCAUGCCUUCACCUCCUCUGGCCAACUCUAAUCAUGAAUCUCCUGUGAAUCAGCUGGGAAACAUGCAGAAUAUGAGAUUGGGGCCCUCAUUCAUACUAACUGGAAUUUUCCUUGGCAAUGGUAGAACAGAAGCUUCUCCAUUCUUUACAGAUGAAUUUGCUUUAAGUAAGAUCUUCCCAGAGUACAAAAGAAAUUUAUUCGGAAAAUUUCAAACUAAUAUGGCCUUCUCACUGGAACUGGAUCCACCAUCCCUUUUGCUCAGUGUCGUCUUGUUUAUGUUUUAGAUCCUUUGCAAGGUGAGCUACACCUCUGAGAGGAGCUCCUGGAAAUUACCAGAUACUUAAUGUUGCCAGCUGUUACAGAUGGAGGUGAUGCACCUUGAUGAUGCAUAAGUACUGAGCCUGAAUCCUACAAAUGGGAAAAGGUGCUCAUAUCAGACUUAUGCAUUAGAUAUCAAACUACAAAAUACAAGUGCAGUUGAUACCUGUUUAGAUGAUGUAGAGCAAGGUAACAGAGUAUGUAUUAAAAGCAAAAAUUCCCAUGAAGCUGAACCGUUACUCUCUGCCAAAACCUCCCACUCUCAAGUUUUAAGAGCCAAUAAACCUUGUAUCUGUACGUUCAGCUUUGCCUUUUUUUUCCCAGGACUGUAAACCUCUGUCAAGGUUUACCAUGUUUCAUUGAUUUUA